AUUGCUUCUUGGCCUUUUGGCUAAGAUCAAGUGUAGUAUCUGUUCUUAUCAGAUCCUCUGUCUCCCUCUCUCUCAAAAAUAAACAUUUAAAAAACAAAAUAAAAUAAGAGAGAGAGAGAGAGAGAGACAACAAACCAAGAAUUCAAUCUCU
RNAcentral lists this small nuclear RNA (151 nucleotides) under Suricata suricatta (meerkat). Its description in RNAcentral is "U2 spliceosomal RNA (ENSSSUG00005004588.1)". The stretch from base 1 to 135 matches the Rfam family "U2 spliceosomal RNA". From Rfam's summary of the family: U2 is a small nuclear RNA (snRNA) component of the spliceosome (involved in pre-mRNA splicing). Complementary binding between U2 snRNA (in an area lying towards the 5' end but 3' to hairpin I) and the branchpoint sequence (BPS) of the intron results the bulging out of an unpaired adenosine, on the BPS, which initiates a nucleophilic attack at the intronic 5' splice site, thus starting the first of two transesterification reactions that mediate splicing. The record is from RNAcentral. Lineage: Eukaryota; Metazoa; Chordata; Mammalia; Carnivora; Herpestidae.